CCAGCCCCGAGGAGGGACGGUGAGGCGGGAGGGAGCAGGACGUCUCAGGGAAGGGGGAACAGAGGGGAAUCCCUCCCAGGUGGAAACCCCCCAGGCUGACCUGGACCCUGCAGAAUUGGGGUGCCAAUCCCGGCCCCACCAAAUGGACAGCCAAGGCACCUGGGCCGUGGUGGCCGCCAGUGGGUUUCACAGGCAGUGGCUACUCCAAACACUGCAGGGACAUGGUGGCAUCCGCUGAUGCAGAGGGAGAGCUUGCAGUUUGGGUCCACUGUCUCUGCACCCCAUUGCUUUGCCUGGAAAAAGGCCUGGGAAGGGAUUUGGACCUUGCUUGUCACCUGAGGGGCCAGGGCAUCCCCUGCAAUCCCCCCGUGUGGUGGGAGCCUCGCCGCAGUGRGGCAGAGCUGCAGAGUCCUUUGCAAAAGCCACCCCCCCCCCCAGAUCCCCAGGCACUGCCACGUCUCCGUGCUGCCGCUGCGUCCUUGCCCCAGCCGGAGCAGCCCUGGCACCGCACCGCUGCGUGGGGCAGGGGCAGAGGGGAUUCGCCCCCGGUGAAUCUUUAACUCUCUUCUCGGAAGUGCCUGACCAGCCCGCCUCGGGGCCGGAUGUUCAGAGCGGUGGGGUCGGACGGGACGCCGCGGGGUCUGGCACRCGCUCAGCCCGGCAGCCCUGGCCCACGGCCUCUGCCCCCCAGGGGCAGCCCCUGAGCGGGGGGGUGCAGAGGCGUGGGGGGGCCGGGCUGGCAGCGUGGGAGCUGCYGGGAGGAGGGCAGGUCCCCGCGAGAGCAUCCCUGCUCCUGGAGCAUCCCUGUGCGGCGCCAGCUGUGAGAGUCUUGGGAUGAGCUGCUGAGGGACAGGGCCUUGGCUGCGGCGCUUUCUGGGUCAGCGGGAAGGGAGCUAAUCUCCCUGGCCUGCCUCCAGGGCUGCGCAAAUAGCCUGGUAAAGCCUGGCUCCUGCCCUGCCCUCGCCCUGCCCUCUAAUCCCUGCCRGCACGUGCAGCGGCAGCCCGCGGCAUGGCCCCGCGCCCGGCGUUGCCCACUCCGCCUGGCACGGGGAUGGACAGGGCUGAUGGAGACCGGUGCAGCGCCCGGGCUGCGGCUGAGGGUCUCCAUUCCCCUCCGGGCUGGGGAUGUGC
This 1131-nucleotide long non-coding RNA is filed under the name Apteryx haastii (Great spotted kiwi). Its description in RNAcentral is "lncRNA (ENSAHAG00000014600.1)". The record is from RNAcentral. Lineage: Eukaryota; Metazoa; Chordata; Aves; Apterygiformes; Apterygidae.